Molecule: ribosomal RNA, 771 nt
Filed under: uncultured bacterium
Lineage: Bacteria
Description: bacterial SSU rRNA
Rfam family: Bacterial small subunit ribosomal RNA
Source: RNAcentral
AGAGUUUGAUCCUGGCUCAGGACGAACGCUGGCGGCGUGCUUAACACAUGCAAGUCGAACGGAGAGGCCCUUCGGGGUACUCGAGUGGCGAACGGGUGAGUAACACGUGGGUGAUCUGCCCUGCACUUUGGGAUAAGCCUGGGAAACUGGGUCUAAUACCGAAUAUGACCAUGCGCCUCCUGGUGUGUGGUGGAAAGCUUUUGCGGUGUGGGAUGGGCCCGCGGCCUAUCAGCUUGUUGGUGGGGUAAUGGCCUACCAAGGCGACGACGGGUAGCCGGCCUGAGAGGGUGACCGGCCACACUGGGACUGAGAUACGGCCCAGACUCCUACGGGAGGCAGCAGUGGGGAAUAUUGCACAAUGGGCGCAAGCCUGAUGCAGCGACGCCGCGUGAGGGAUGACGGCCUUCGGGUUGUAAACCUCUUUCAGCACAGACGAAGCGCAAGUGACGGUAUGUGCAGAAGAAGGACCGGCCAACUACGUGCCAGCAGCCGCGGUAAUACGUAGGGUCCGAGCGUUGUCCGGAAUUACUGGGCGUAAAGAGCUCGUAGGUGGUUUGUCGCGUUGUUCGUGAAAACUCACAGCUUAACUGUGGGCGUGCGGGCGAUACGGGCAGACUUGAGUACUGCAGGGGAGACUGGAAUUCCUGGUGUAGCGGUGGAAUGCGCAGAUAUCAGGAGGAACACCGGUGGCGAAGGCGGGUCUCUGGGCAGUAACUGACGCUGAGGAGCGAAAGCGUGGGGAGCGAACAGGAUUAGAUACCCUGGUAGUCC